RNAcentral lists this transfer RNA (77 nucleotides) under Marmota monax (woodchuck). RNAcentral's name for it is "tRNA.Ser". The record is from RNAcentral. Lineage: Eukaryota; Metazoa; Chordata; Mammalia; Rodentia; Sciuridae.
GGAGUGUAUCUCAGUGGUAGACCAUGUGCUUAGAUAUUAGAUAGCACAGGCCCAGGGUUCAAUCCCCAGCACCACCA